Molecule: non-coding RNA, 84 nt
Organism: Alternaria sp. BMP 0032
Lineage: Eukaryota; Fungi; Ascomycota; Dothideomycetes; Pleosporales; Pleosporaceae
Source: the annotation of a GenBank genome assembly
GCUGCAAUGGUCUAGUGGUUAUGACAUUCGCCUCACACAAAUAGUGCGCGCGAAGGGUCCCCAGUUCGACCCUGGGUUGCAGCA